RNAcentral lists this ribosomal RNA (253 nucleotides) under uncultured bacterium. RNAcentral's name for it is "partial 16S ribosomal RNA". It matches the Rfam family "Bacterial small subunit ribosomal RNA", at positions 524 to 776 of the family's 1533-position model. The record is from RNAcentral.
UACGAAGGGGGCUAGCGUUGUUCGGAAUUACUGGGCGUAAAGCGCACGUAGGCGGAUGUUUAAGUCGGGGGUAAAAUCCCAGGGCUCAACCCUGGAACUGCCUUCGAUACUGGACGUCUCGAGUCCGAGAGAGGUGAGUGGAAUUCCGAGUGUAGAGGUGAAAUUCGUAGAUAUUAGGAAGAACACCAGUGGCGAAGGCGGCUCACUGGCCCGGUACUGACGCUGAGGCGCGAAAGCGUGGGGAGCAAACAGG